Molecule: long non-coding RNA, 819 nt
Organism: Teleopsis dalmanni
Lineage: Eukaryota; Metazoa; Arthropoda; Insecta; Diptera; Diopsidae
Exons: 7
Source: RefSeq, a predicted model, not a curated record
UUUUUGGCUUAGACAUUGUAUACAAAAUUGAUUAGGUUAAGAGUUUAGGUUAAGUAGGUAGACAUGUAGGUUAGGAAGUUAGUUUAAUUUAAUCAAAAUUUAAAAUAUACAUGCAAAUUAUUCAAAAUGUUCAUUACGAAUUUUCACUCAUUUUGAUGAAAAUGAAUGUCAAAAUUCAAUUGCUUGCAUAACAGCUCUAAAGUUAUGUAAAUCAAGAAGGAGGAGACCAAAAGAUUAUAAAAAUUUAUACAUCAGCAUUGUAUGAGUAAGUCGGCGGUUCACUUCUUCACGGACUUAUCUUUUUCACGCAGCUAGAUACGCAUAUUAUUUGUCUAAUUUGGUGCUCUCAUUUGAUUGAAAAAGUUGUAUACUAUAUAACGUUAAGACAUUAAGAUGUCCAUCAUUUGAUCCAAAUACUUAGAGAUAUUAAGGAAAGAGCAAAAAUUAUUUGCUCAUUCUCACCUACCAGACGUGACAAAAAUUGAUUAGAUAUACCAAUGAACUUGUCGAAAUGUCCAAAAUUCCAUUUUGGUACACCACCUGAUACUAAAAGUACUAUAUUGUUCAACUGAAAACGUAAACCUAUUACUGGUCCCAUGGAGGUACACUGGAAACUGUUCUGAAAUGGUUCGCGUUCUUUAAAUCGUUGAAGAAUCGGAAGAGUAUCAUCUGUUUUCCAAGCCAGGUAUCCCAUGUGCGAUACAAGGUGGAGUUAUUGGACCACUAACCAGAUGUGAUGAUGUAUUAGUAUUAAGUAUUUAUUUAGAUAUAAGAUAGUUUUAGGAUGAAAAAAAUUUGAAUAAAAAAUUUUAUGUGAAA